AUGUGUGUGGCUUGACUGUGUGUGAAUAUUGCAUUUGCUUGAUGGUGUGGCUUGUAUAACUUGUGUUUUAUAUGUCACAAUUGAUUGUUGUUUAUUGAAUGUGAACAAACCUAACACUAUUCUUUUUUUCUGAACUUUUUUGUGAUUAUGUCUUAUGUGGAUAUCAUAUUCUUUUUUGUAUUACUGCUGUCCAGUCACUAGAAUAACACUUUUCUAAGUAUUUAUGGUACAGACAUGUGGAUCGGGACAUGUCACAUUGGCUCUUUGUUGUGUUGCUAAGGACACUGAUGGGUUGUGUUUGCAUACAACGCAGUCUGGACCAACAAAAUGGUCUCAUUGCCGCAAGCAAUGUCUAGCAAGGUGGAAAUAAAUGGGCAGAAAUAGCAAAAGUUCUUCCUAGAAGACAUUUGAACAUUGCAGGAAUCGAGUAUUUCUAUUUGUUCUCAGGUUCUUCUCACCUAUAGCUAGAGUCAAAGACGACAAACCAAGUGGAUUAUUGGACUUGCAAGAUAAACAGAAUCAUCGGUCAUCUGAAUCUUCUUUUCUAAUAUGACUAUUGAUGCUGCUCAUGAGGCUAGCCAUCGGCUUGGAAGUGAUGAGAGGCAAUCACUGUUGUCAACUUGAAACAUAUAAUCUUUUAGG
Molecule: long non-coding RNA, 642 nt
Organism: Triticum dicoccoides
Lineage: Eukaryota; Viridiplantae; Streptophyta; Magnoliopsida; Poales; Poaceae
Exons: 5
Source: RefSeq, a predicted model, not a curated record